Molecule: long non-coding RNA, 3887 nt
Filed under: Ricinus communis (castor bean)
Lineage: Eukaryota; Viridiplantae; Streptophyta; Magnoliopsida; Malpighiales; Euphorbiaceae
Description: long non-coding RNA (RCOM_LNC002523)
Source: RNAcentral
AAUUAAACUUGAGGGACCUGUCGGAAAUUCGGCAGAACCUCCCCUAAUUUACGGACAUUGAGUCCAGGACCUCCUAGAAAAAUACUUCAAAUAUUCAACAAUUCAAACAACGGGAGCCGGGUCCCCAAACUUCACUAUUUCCCAACUCCGCCAUAACACAUAAUAUGAGGCAGGCAAACUGACAGACAAUUAUUUUUGACUCAUAAAUGUUAAAUACUCAACACAAAACAAUAAGCACAAUUCUAAAUCAAAGGAUUUCCAAGAUCAACGGGCCAGAGAAAAUUACCGAGACGCUCGAUCGCUCGGUCGACUCGCCUCCGGCCGCCGGAGUUCGAUCGACGAUCCGGACACAUCAUCGGACUCACAACGAAGCGCUGAUGAAAAUUCCCACUUUCGAUUUUCCGAUCUGACACCCGAUCCCCACCUCUCAGCCGUCGAUUCGCAAACGGAGCCCGAUCGCCAUGAAACCGGUGCCAUUGCGAAGCUUGAGCUGAGGAGAGUCGGAAUACGUCCUCCGAUCGUCCAUCCUCCGCCGAACCUCGUCGGAAAAGCUAGAAAAUGCAGCUACCAUCACUUCGCCGGAACUCCCUCCUCCGGCCACCAAAACUGCUGCCACACUUCGCGCGAUUCCGUUGCCAACUCUGCUGCCAGCCGCGCUCCGCCGGUCGUCCUCGGAAGGACACCGAUGCCGCAACACUCUCUUCCUGUCGCCCGCACCCUCUCUCUUCUUCCUUUCUUCUAUAUCGACUUUUGACCCCUGAACUUUUCUUUAUUACAAUUUGGUCCCUCAACUUUCUUAAUUACUUACAAUUUCAUCCUGCAGAAUUUCCAAAUAACCCCCAAACUUUUCUUUAGCCUUUCAAUUAAGCCCCUAUAAUUUGGGCCAAAUUAGAAUUAUUGAAAAUGCACAAUUAUAAAAAAUAUCCUAACUGACAUAUUUAUUUACAAAAAUACCAAACUCAUAAAUUUCCAUUAAAACCCUAUAUUAAUGAAAUUAUACUUUUAAUCCUCAUCCAAAAAUAAUUCUCCAAUUAAGUCCUACACAUAAUUAAAUUAAAUAAUCAAUUUACUAAUUAUUUUCCAACUUAAAUUUUAAUACCACUAGUUAAUUAAAAUACCAAUUUCUCCAAAAUUCUUUUAUAAAAAUGUCCUUUCCAGUAUAUAAUUUUAUUUAUACAUAUACAUAUACAUUGGGAAAAAAAUUAGAAUAACCAAAAAUAUAUUCUACCCUUCAAAUAAUUUACUUAAUUAAUUUCUUAAAGAUUCAACAAAUUGGGUAUAGAAAAAUAACUCAUUUAAUUGUCUAAUAUUAAAAUUCAAAAUUUGCAUUUAAAUCAUUCCAAUUAAACCAAAUAAAGAUAAAAUAAAUUAAUUUAAAUAAAUACUCAUUAUUAAAUAUAUAAAAAUUUCGGGUAUUACAAAUAUCAGUAAUAAUAAAAUUAAGAAUAAUAAUAAUAAUAAUAAUAAUAAUAAUAAUAAUAAUAACAAUAACAAUAAUAAUAAUAAUAAGAAUAAGAAUAAGAAUAAGAAUAAGAAUAAUAAUAAUAAUAAUAAUAAUAAUAAUAAUAAGAAUAAGAAUAAGAACAAUAAUAAUAAUAAUAAUAAUAGUAAUAAUAAUAAUAAUAAUAAUAAUAAUAAUAAAAGUAAUAAUAAUAAUAAAAUAAUAAUAAUCAAAGUAAAAGUAAUAAUAAUAAUAAUAAUGAUAAUAAUAAUAAUAAUAAUAGUAAGAAUAAUAAUAAUAAUAAUAAUAAUAAUUAAUAAUAAUAAUAAUAGUAAUAAUAAUAAUAAAAUUUUUAUUCUUAUCUUACGAUUUUUAAGGUUUUAUUUUAAUCAAAGUUGAAAUGGUAAAUUGUUAAUAAUGGCGAUGUGAUAAUAAUAAUAAUAAUAAUAACCAUAAAAAUAAGAAUAAAAUAUCUUACAAUCUUUAAAGUUUCAUUAUUAUUAUUAUUACUCUUAUUAUUAUUAUUAUUAUUAUUUUAUUGUUAUUUAUUAUUGUUGUUAUUCUUAUUAUUAUUAUUACUGUUAUUGUUAUUAUUAUUAUUAUUAUUACUGUUAUUGUUAUUAUUAUUAUUAUUAUUGUUGUUAUUCUUGUUAUUAUUAUUAUUAUUAUUAUUUCAACUUUGAUUAAAUGAAAUUUUAAAGAUUGUAAGAUAAGAAUAAAAAUAUUAUUAUUAUUAUUAUUAUUAAUAUUAUUAUUAUUACUGAUGUUAUUAUUAUUGUUAUUGUUAUUAUCAUUAUUAUUAUCACAUCCUCACUAUUAAGAGUUUAUCAUUUGAACUUUGAUUAAAAUGAAGUCUUUGUAAGAUAAGAAUAAAAAUAUCUACCACUAAUGAAAUUUAGAACAUGUAUAACAUUAAUUGAUUGGUAUGCUUAACUUUUUUUCUAUUGGUUGUUAUAUUCUUAUUAUGGUACUAUAUGUACAGUAGUUAACUUACAAAUAUUUUAUAUAUGUCAACUGUCAAAUUAAGAAUAUGGAAUAUCCCAAUUAAAGUUAAAGUCAUAAUUAUACUGCCACUUAAAGAUAGAAUAAAAUCUUAAAAUUUUUAAAAAUAAAUAUAUUUUUCCAUUUCAGCUAGAUUUCAAAAAUUAGAAGGUAAUUAAAUUGUACAAUUAAUUAAUUAUAAUUAUAAUUAUGACCUUGUAUAUAAAAAGAAAAUAAAAAGAAGGCAAUCUUAAAACUCUCUGUUCCAGAAGUGGAAAUAGAAAGGGGGCAACAGUACCGUCCGAUCUCCGAUAAUUGCGGUAGAUCCGGCGGUCCAGCAAAUUGGUUACCUAGGACGCGGUUUUAUGGGCUCCACAUAUCAGAUUUCACAGUCAANNNUAUCAGAUUUCACAGUCAAACACAAGUCUUUAAUUCUUUUUAAUAUAAUGAAUAUAUUUUCCUAAUUCAACUUUCAAUUUCUAAUUACAAUUGAUUAAUUAAUAAUCUUUUUAUUUUAUAAAUGUAUUUUCCGGAGCUUCCUUAUAAAGCUUAUCCCACUUAAUUCUUUUUUAAAAUAUGCCAUUUAAACUUUCUAUUACUGGUUAAAAAUCUCAUGAAUUUAUUUUAUACUAUGAAUUUAUUUUGAUUAUAUCACUGCCUUAUACUCUAAAAAAAUAAAUAUAAUAAAUUUAAGAAUUUCGAAUUUGUAAGAUUUAGUUACAUUAAUUUGAAAAAAAAAAAAGGAAUAAUAUUAAAUGUGACAUAUUUUUACAAGUAUGUGACAACUUUUUAAUAAGACUUUCAUGUAAAAAUUCAAAAUACUCCCAUAAAGUUACAUCUGUCUCUUCACAACUAAGGGUAAAAUAAAUAUUUAUUCUAACUUUCAAUUGUUCCAAAAAGAAAAAGGAAUUAGAAUGAAUUCUUUAAUCAUAAAAUAUGGUGUGCUUUGUUAUUAUAUCACUAGGCAGUGGACACCUAAUAAGUAAUUUAUGCCAACUCAGGCAUGGUAUGCUGGAAUACCAAUCAUGCCUUGCAUGUUGUGGGUCCACCAUAUAUCAUUUUUACAGCUUAAAAGGGUAGUAGGUCAUUUAAUUAUUGGAUAUGAUUUUUCUAUUUGCAUGCCAUGUGUUUUUAACAGAAGCAAUCAAAAUGAAAAAUGCUUCCAAAUUAGGAGAAGGUUAACAAAAGGGAAGGUGAGUCAAUCAAGGCCAAGUCCAUAUCUCCCCUUCCUAUUGGCAUCUAAUUCAACAUCUAGAGAACCAUUUUCAACUUUCAGAAAAACCAGCAUUCAAACAUGACAUGCCUACUCAUACAUGGCUGAAAUUUUGUAACAUUUUUACUUACCUGGAAUACCCGACCUCUGUAGCCAAGCACAACUCUGGGAGAUCAAGCAUUCUCUGUCUGAAUUUGGACAUCUGGAGGGAAAAAAUUAUUGCCCAAUCAGAUAAGAACCCAAGAAGUCCUC